AAUCAACGCUGGCGGCGUGCCUAACACAUGCAAGUCGAACGCGAAAGCCCCGCAAGGGGCAAGUAGAGUGGCAAACGGGUGAGUAACACGUGGGUGACCUGCCUUCGAGCGGGGGAUAACGUCCCGAAAGGGACGCUAAUACCGCAUGACAUCCUGCCUUUGAAGAGGUGGAGAUCAAAAGCUGGGGAUCGCAAGACCUAGCACUCGAAGAGGGGCCCGCGCCUGAUUAGCAGUUGGUGGGGUAACGGCUCACCAAGGCGACGAUCAGUAGCCGGCCUGAGAGGGCGGACGGCCACACUGGGACUGAGACACGGCCCAGACUCCUACGGGAGGCAGGCAGUGGGGAAUUGUUCGCAAUGGGCGCAAGCCUGACGACGCAACGCCGCGUGGA
RNAcentral lists this ribosomal RNA (391 nucleotides) under uncultured bacterium. RNAcentral's name for it is "bacterial SSU rRNA". It matches the Rfam family "Bacterial small subunit ribosomal RNA", at positions 29 to 405 of the family's 1533-position model. The record is from RNAcentral.